ACGAUACAGAAACUACUUCAGUGUCUGUUGAUCCCAUAAUACAAAUUGGUGUUCUCAACAUAUCCGAAGUACGCUUGAAGGUUUCUAUGAUCAUGUCCCCAACACAACGUCCAGUAGGUGUUCUCGGGUUUUGGGCUAGUCUGAUGACUGCACUUGGAAACACUGAAAAUAUGACUGUGCGGAUAAACCAAAGAUUUGUGGAAAAUAUAUGCACGAGGCAUAGUGUUAUGAUUGGUACUGCUAUUGCGAACGUCAAGAAGGAUCUUCUUAGCCAGCCUCUCCAACUACUUUCUGGCCUUGAUAUAUUAGGCAAUGCCAGUAGCGCACUUGGACACCUGCGCCCCCCCCAGAAAGCACCAGCGUGUUUG
This 368-nucleotide unclassified non-coding RNA is filed under the name Hevea brasiliensis (rubber tree). The record is from RNAcentral. Lineage: Eukaryota; Viridiplantae; Streptophyta; Magnoliopsida; Malpighiales; Euphorbiaceae.